ACCAGUGUGACUCCAGAACAAAAGAAAGUAUCACAGCUAGGAACAGAAACCUAGAUCAGUCAGAAAGCUGGCUCUUCCACUGACAAGCUCUAUGCUUUGGGAGUAGCCGCUCACAAUUGCUCACAUCUGGCACGCCUCAACGGCAAUCAUUUGUGAGGUUCAACAACCUUGAAAGUGAAAUAAGGAGCUUUACCUUCAAAAGGAAAAUUAAAGACCUGGAGCAGACCACUUGGGACCUUUUUAUUCCACCUGGAUAAUGGACCAAUUUUACUUUUGAAGACUGGAAUACAAAGCCACCCUGAAAGGCAAAUUA
Fukomys damarensis (Damara mole-rat) is the source of this 313-nucleotide long non-coding RNA. RefSeq lists it as uncharacterized. The transcript has 3 exons. NCBI's taxonomy places the organism in Eukaryota, Metazoa, Chordata, Mammalia, Rodentia, Bathyergidae. The record is from RefSeq and is a predicted model, not a curated record.